Molecule: non-coding RNA, 532 nt
Organism: Pelobates cultripes (western spadefoot toad)
Lineage: Eukaryota; Metazoa; Chordata; Amphibia; Anura; Pelobatidae
Source: the annotation of a GenBank genome assembly
GGAAUCAGUCGGGAGCUAUUAACAGUUUAAUUGAUACGCUUUUAUGAAGAAGUGGGUUUUUAAUAAAUUUUUGAAGGAGUGGAGACUGGGUGAGCAUCUAACGGAGGAGGGAAGCGAGCUCCACAGGAACGGUGCAGCAUUCGAGAAGUCUUAGAAGUGGGAGUAUGGACAGAAGAUAGACGUAAGUCUUCAGCAGAGCGUAAGGGCCUAUACGGGACAUAAUUGUGUAUUAGGGAGGAUAGAUAGGUGGGAGCAGCAUUAUGUAGAGAUUUGAAAGCAAGAACCAGAAUUUUAAAUUGACCCCUAUAUCUUACAGGAAGCCAAUGUAGGUACUGAAAGAAGGGUGAGGCGUAGGAGGUGCAGAUGAGCCUCGCCGUCGCAUUCAUUAUGAACUGUAACGACGCAAGUUGGGAGCACGUAAGACCAUUGUAGGGAUCAAUUUCCCGGAGUCGCCAUAAGCUGGACACCAGAAAACUAAGGCGGGACAGGAGCCAAAAAUCUUAACUGUCCUGCCUCAAUAGGGACUAUUGGG